RNAcentral lists this ribosomal RNA (441 nucleotides) under uncultured bacterium. RNAcentral's name for it is "partial 16S ribosomal RNA". It matches the Rfam family "Bacterial small subunit ribosomal RNA", at positions 338 to 795 of the family's 1533-position model. The record is from RNAcentral.
CCUACGGGUGGCAGCAGUGGGGGAUAUUGCACAAUGGGGGAAACCCUGAUGCAGCGACGCCGCGUGGGUGAAGGAGCGUUUCGGCGCGGAAAGCCCUAUCGGCAGGGAAGAAGAAAGACGGUACCUGACUAAGAAGCACAGGCUAACUACGUGCCAGCAGCCGCGGUAAGACGUAGGGGGCGAGGGUUAUCCGGAUGCAAUAGGUGUAAAGGGAGCGUAUACGGCCAUGCAAGCCAGGGGUGAAAGCCCGGGGCCCAACCCCGGGACUGCCCUUGGAACUGCAUGGCUGGAGUGCGGGAGGGGCAGGCGGACUUCCUGGUGUAGCGGUGAAAUGCGUAGAUAUCAGGAGGAACACCGGCGGCGAAGGCGGCCUGCUGGACCGCGACUGACGUUGAGGCUCGAAAGCGUGGGGAGCGAACAGGAUUAGAUACCCGGGUAGUC